This 8240-nucleotide long non-coding RNA is filed under the name Lactuca sativa (garden lettuce). Its description in RNAcentral is "long non-coding RNA (LSAT_LNC002496)". The record is from RNAcentral. Lineage: Eukaryota; Viridiplantae; Streptophyta; Magnoliopsida; Asterales; Asteraceae.
CCAACCAACAAUAACCCAAUUACCCAUUCCCGUUAUUCUCACUUUAAUGUCCCUAAAACAACUAACAUAAGGGACCUAGUCUAAGAAUAUUUCAUCGGGGCGACAACACAUGCUUCGGGGGUACCUCAGCAAUAUAAGUCAAAUAAGGCAACCAUGAGGGGGAUGGAGUACAGCGAAUGAACACCCAAGUUCAUUAACACCUACAGGUGGCGAACCUGCUAAUGUUUCCACAAGACUGUCUAGAAUAGCCAGUGGUCGUCAUCUAAACUCCGCUAGAUGACUCAAUCAAACAACAACGAGGCCUCUCAUCUGUUUAUUACACACCAACUGUCUACCCAUGUUCUACCCAACAUAUUAGUAGAUAAAAAUAUACAUUUGUAUACAUAGUUUAAAGAAAACCUGUAUAGCAUGCUUUAAUCAACACAUAUAUCACAUAACAGAUGAGGCACACACACACAUAACACAUAUCUCAUAAAGAAAUAAGCAGAUCUAUAAGAUAGAAGAGAGUGAAUACUCAUUCACACAUAACACAACCAAAUAUAUACACAUAGCACGUAUUUUUAUAUAAAAUACUUCGUAUUAUUGUAUUAGAAGAAAUAACUACACACUCACUUGAUCAGAAGAUGAUCGGACAGCACUACGGCUUAUAGAAGUAGUAAUCCACAGCAGAUCUGGAAGAUCUUCUCGAAAAUCGAACUUCUCGCGGGCAGAGCUUCGACUCGGGAACCGCACUUUUCGGGAUCUUCAGGAUCUCGGGACUUGCCUCGGGGCUAGAGUAUGAUACCGGGACUUCGGGGUAGCUUCGGGGGUUUUUGCACAGAGCUUCGACACGAAAACGAGAGGGAAUUGGCAAAAAUACCCGGAACCCUCGCAUCCUAUUUAUAGGAGGCUGGAGCCUCGGAGUACGCGGGGCGUACUGCGUUACGCGGGGCGUACUGCCCAAAACGUCAUUGCUUACGUAUCCGAAGUGCUCGAGUGCGAGUGUCGACAUCCCUCGGAGUACGCGGGGCGUACUCGAGUACGCGGGGCGUACCUCGGAUCAGAUCGGUGACUCCUUCGGAUAAUGCUUCCGAAUUUUGAAUUAAAAAUAAAUACAAAAUGAUUAAUAAACUUCGGAAAUUCAUAACUUCUUCAUACGAACUCCGUUUUCGACGUUCUUUAUAUCCACGCGAAGGUGAGACCACGCUCUACGACUUUCGUUUAGACUCCGUCGGCUAAUUUUGACUUUAUUUUUAUUAAUUAUUUUUAAUAGGCCGGGACAGAAACUUUCGUUAUAAAUUCAUAACUUCUUCGUUUGACGUCCGUUCUCGCCUAACUUUUUAUCGUUUCAAUACCAACAAUGAGAUCUUCGAUUCUCAUUUAGAUUGCUUCGGCUAACAACCGCUCGAUCUCAAAUCGAGUAAAACAGGCUGUAUAUCGCUAAGCCGGAACUUCGAUAAAUCAUAACUUCCUCAUACGAAGUCAGAUUUGGGCGUUCUAUAUAUAUUCGGAAACCUCGUUUCAACUACUACAACAUUAACCAAAGAUAUUAAGUUUAUUUUACACUUAAAUUUUGACGCUUAUUUUUAUUCUUAAUUAAUCAAACCACAUAAUUAAGCAAUUAAGCACAAAACACAUAAUACUCAAAUAAUACAAUCUUAUUAUUUCAAAACGGGUUACAAAGGUUAACCUAGACUAUUACAUUGCUAAAAAUGGCAAGCCCGGAAACACAGGCGUUACAAUUCUCUCCACCUUAGAAUGAUUCCGUCCCCGGAAUCACACAUCAACAAACAAAUGCGGAUAGCGACUCAACAUGUCACUCUCCGUCUCCCAGGUGAGAUUCGGCCCAUUCGUGUGUUUCCAUCGGACAAGCACUAACCCAACCAUUUUGCGUCGCAACUUCUUAGUCUUUCGGUCAACAAUUGCCUCUGGUUCUUCAAUCAACCUUUUGUUCUCAUCAAUUCUCAAUUCAGAAAUUGGAAUUAUAUCGGGAACUUCUCCCGUGAACUUCCUCAAAUAACACACAUGAAAGGUGUUGUGAAUUCCAUUCAGUUCUUCGGGUAAUUCGAGCUUGUAAGCUUGAUUCCCAAUCCUCUGAAGGACUUUAAACGGUCCAAUAAACCUUGGACUCAACUUUCCCCUUUUACCAAAUCUUAUAAGUCCCUUCCACGGCGAGACUUUAAGCAAAACCGAAUCUCCAACCUCAAAAGUCAUCGGUCUUCGCUUCUUGUCAGCAUAGCUCUUUUGACGAUCUUGAGCUGCUAACAUUCUUUCCCUAAUUAUUUUCAACUUUUCAGCAGUUUGAUGAACCAUCUCCGGUCCCAUAAACUGCUUUUCCCCAGCCUCAAGCCAACAAGACGGCGUACGACACUUCUGUCCAUACAAAGCUUGAUAAGGUGCCAUCUUAAUGCUCGAGUGAAAACUAUUAUUAUAGGAAAAUUCUACCAACGGUAAAUGUUCAUCCCAAUUACCUAGGAAUUCCAAGGUACAUGCUCUCAGCAUAUCUUCAAGUGUUUGUAUUGUUCUUUCACUCUGACCAUCAGUCUGCGGAUGGUAAGCUGUGCUUAAACAUAACUUGGUACCCAUUUCCUCUUGUAGACUUUUCCAAAACCUUGAGGUGAAACGGCUAUCACGAUCCGAUACAAUCGUUAACGGAACACCGUGAAGCCUCACAAUUUCCUUCACGUAAGAAUUCGCAAGCUUUUCCAUAGACCAUUUCUCCCUGGCCGCUAUGAAAUGCGCACUCUUAGUGAAUCGAUCAACGACCACCCAAAUCAUGUCGUGACCAUUCUUUGUUCUGGGCAGUUUAGUGACAAAAUCCAUAGCAAUGUCUUCCCACUUACCCAUAGGCACAGGCAAUGGUUCUAAACUCCCGUAAGGUUUCUGAUGUUGUGUCUUGACUCUCGCACAAGUCACACACUCGGCCACAUACUUUGCAACAUCAAGCUUCAUCGUCGGCCACCAGUAGUAGGGUUUCAGGUCCCUAUACAUUUUAGUGCUACCCGGAUGAAUUGAGUACAUGGUUUUGUGAGCUUCUUCCAUCAGAAGAUCCCUAAUUCCUCCUGACUUAGGUACCCAAAUACGAUCUUGGAAUACCUUCAGUCCAUGACCGUUAGUACCAAACACCAACGUUUUACCCAAACGUUCCUCCUUUCGGUCAUUUUUCUCAGAAGCUUCCUCUUGAGCUUUCUUUAUACUUUCCACAAUAGUCGAGACAACUUCAAUUCUCAACGCUCUUGGCCUCUUCCUUUCAAGAUUGACUUUCCGACUGAGAGCAUCAGCAACAACAUUAGCUUUACCGGGGUGGUAAAGUAUCUCGCAGUCGUAGUCUUUAAGUAAUUCUAGCCAGCGUCGUUGCCUCAUAUUCAAUUCUUUCUGAUUAAAGAGGUAUUGGAGACUCUUAUGAUCAGUGAAAAGUUUGCACUUCGUGCCAUAGAGGUAAUGCCUCCAUAUUUUCAGAGCGAAAACUACCGCUGCCAACUCCAAAUCAUGAGUCGGGUAAUUCUUUUCAUGCUCUUUCAGCUGUCGAGACGCAUAUGCUAUCACCUUUUCUCUUUGGGUCAAAACACAACCCAAUCCAACACCAGACGCAUCGCUAUAAACAGCGAAGUCUUCAACUCCAUCGGGUAGAGAAAGUAUCGGUGCCUCGCAUAGCUUCUUCUUUAACUUCUCGAAUGCUUCUUUAUGCUUCUCACUCCAAGCAUAAGUAGCUCCUUUGUGGGUCAAAGCUGUUAAUGGAGUAGCAAUCGAAGAAAAGCCUUGGAUAAACCUUCGGUAAUAUCCGGCUAAUCCUAAAAAGCUUCGAAUCUCCGUGGGACUUUUCGGUUGUUCCCACUUCGUCACAGCUUCGAUCUUCGCUGGAUCAACCAUUAUCCCUUCUUGGUUGACCACGUGACCCAAGAAUUGGACCUCACGAAUCCAAAAAUCACAUUUGGAGAACUUCGCAUAAAGCUUCUCCUUCUUCAAAACUUCUAACACUUCUCGCAAGUGUCUGCCAUGCUCCUCCUGGCUUUUCGAGUAGAUCAGAAUGUCGUCUAUGAACACUAUCACGGAUUUAUCAAGGAAAGGAUUACAAACCCUAUUCAUCAAAUCCAUGAACGCUGCUGGAGCAUUGGUUAGUCCAAACGACAUAACCAAGAACUCGUAGUGUCCAUAUCUAGUUCUGAAUGCAGUCUUCUCGAUAUCUUGCUCUCUUACUUUCAGCUGAUGAUAUCCUGACCUAAGAUCGAUCUUCGAGAAAUAGCUCGAACCUUGCAAUUGAUCAAACAGGUCAUCAAUCCUCGGCAACGGAUAUCUAUUCUUUAUUGUUGCCUUGUUCAGCUCUCUGUAAUCGAUGCACAUUCUCAUACUUCCAUCUUUCUUCUUUACAAAUAACACCGGAGCUCCCCAGGGCGAUGAACUAGGUCUAAUGAAACCUUUGUCCAAUAACUCCUGAAGUUGCAUCAUCAGCUCCUUCAUCUCCGUCGGUGCUAAUCGAUAAGGUGCUUUUGCUAUUGGCGUGGUUCCUGGUAACAAGUCUAUUCUGAACUCCACUUGUCUAUCAGGUGGUAAUCCAGGAAGAUCCUCGGGAAAUACUUCCGGAUAAUCACACACCACUGGAAUGCUCUGCAUCACCUUCUUUUCUUUCUUAGCAUCAAUCACGAAUGCUAAAUAUGAUGUACAUCCCUUGGUCAAACACUUUCUGGCUUUCAUUAGAGAAAUGAUUCCAGAAUUCACUCUGCGUUUGUCCCCAUACACCAUAAACGAAUCUUUCCCAGGCGGGUUUACUUUAACUAUCUUCUUCUUGCACAAAAUUUCGGCAUCAUUGGCGCUAAGCCAAUCCAUUCCCAAGACGAUGUCGAAACCAUUUAGUUCGAUAGGCAAUAAUUCCUCGAGAAACUUAUUCCCAUUAAGGUCGAUCAAGACGUUUUUCAUACGAUGGCUAACAGGUACAAACUUGCCACUAGCUACUUCGACUAAUAAAGCAUUAUCUAGUCUAUCAACAGGCAAAGCUAGCUUUCUACCAAACUCAUGCGAAAUAAAGGAGUAGUUGGCUCCAGAAUCAAACAAUAUAUGAGCAGGUAAUUCGUUUACGAGAAAGGUACCUGAAGCGACAUCAGCUUCAUCUUUCGCAGCCUCAAGUGUCAUCUGGAAGGCUCUCGCCUUCGGCUUUGGUGGAAUGUUGGGCCUAGCUGCCUCCUUCUUCUUCGGACAGUCUUUCAAAAUAUGCCCCUCUUCAUUACACCCAAAACACAUCCUUUUGUUGUUCGGACAUUCAUUGGCAAAAUGUCCAACCUUUCCACACUUGUAGCAGGUCACAUCCUCGCUACAUUUCCCAAAGUGCUUUUUCUUACACUUAUCACACCACUUUGCUUCGCCUCCUUUUCCUCCAAACUUUUUCGAAUCAGAUUUCGAAAAUUUGCUCUUCUUACUGGAACCAGAUGUUCCUUCAAACUUCCUUUUCUCACCAACCUCAACCUUGACGGUGGUUCUCCCCUUGAUCAUGUUCUCCACAGACUUGGCAGCCCAGAUAGCUGCCUCUAGAGUAAGUGCCUGACGUACCGGCACCUCGUACUCCCAUGGAAGUCCCUUCGCAUACCGAUCCACCUUUGUCAGCUCGUCUGGAACGAUACGCAAGGCAAACUCCAUCUUAUCGGUGAAGUUAUUGGUGUACUCAUCCACUGACAUGCUACCCUUCGUCAAUGUCAAAAACUUGUUCUCCAACUCCAACAGAUUUUGAGCCGAGCAGAACUUGCGCUUGAACUGCACCAAGAACUCUGCCCAUGACAAUUGCAGUGGCUCAUUAGGGCUUAAGGUCUUCCCUAGAGUGUUCCACCAACGAACGGCUCCACCUCGGAAUUGUCGCACGGCAUAGAUAGUCUGCAACUUGCCUCUACAGCCACAUGUCAUAAAGGCUAACUCCAUUUCGGAGAUCCAAUCCAUAACCCCAAUCGGAUCCUCCUUUCCAUUGAAGGUCGAUGGUUUACAAGUCAAAAAGUCCUUGUACUUGCAUCCCAUUCCAUCAUUCCUUCCAUCAUGGUUAUCUUGCCUAACUAUCGGUGGGUUGGCUGGACCAACAGACCCACUGAAGUUUCCACCUUCCGAGUGCCCUUCAUUCAGUUCAGGCUCUUCCACACGAAUCGACAGUUCUUCACGAUUUUGUUGAAGCAACCGUCUAGUUUCAUCCAUCUGACGAUCCAACAUCGUCUGAAUCAUCAAUUGCACACCAGCCAUGGUUAUUGGCUCAGGUGCUGCUGCUACGACAGGUAUUGGCUCAAUCACUGGUGGUUGAUUCCUGUUUUCGUCAGCAUUUCCAACUCCACUUCUUGUUCUCACCAUUUUGAUCUACACCGAAUAAGGUGAAAUUAGAUCCUCAAUCAUGAUAGAUAUUCAAAUCAUCCUUAUCACUCCGAAACGUUUACAUGCUAGUUCUAAUAUCGUAGACGUACGCUUAGAAUCCUACACACAUAAGGUUUCUAGAUCCGGUCGGCAACAGACCAUAGAUCCGAACAAAUAAUAUCAUAUAUGGCAACAUAUAACAUUUAGCACAUAAAGCAUUUUAGGCAACUUUCCUAAAAUAAACUAGUGCUCGUGUCUAAAUCACAACAGACACACAUCUCAAAACUUCACUUAGCAUUCUAAGUUUAAGUCUAGAAAUCCUACAAAUUCCUAGUUCGCUUAAACUAAUGCUCUGAUACCAACUGUGACAUCCCCAAAAUCUCGGCCAGAAAAGACCGAUUUUCAUUUAUGCUUUUAAAUAUUUUCAGAGUAAAUCCUUUUGAUUUGAAAGAGUUGCGGAAUUUGUUCCCAAAAACAAAACAUGAUAAAACAUUGUUUACCGAAGCAUUUCAUAAAAGAAAUGUAUUUUCAUUAUAAUCAAAACUCGGGGUGUCAUGUUCCGAUACAGACCAAUAAGCAUAAACGAAUACAUUACAAGUCAUAUAACAAAUAUAAACAUAUGCAGACUUGUAAACAAAACAACUUGAUGGUUCAUCCAUCUCAUGCCCUUCCGCCACUACCUGUAAUACAAUUUAAAACUGAGUGGGUCAGGCUUGGGAGCCUGGUGAGCAUAUAGGGUUUUCAACCCACAAUAAAUAUCAUAUUUAAUUUUCACCAACCAACAAUAACCCAAUUACCCAUUCCCGUUAUUCUCACUUUAAUGUCCCUAAAACAACUAACAUAAGGGACCUAGUCUAAGAAUAUUUCAUCGGGGCGACAACACAUGCUUCGGGGGUACCUCAGCAAUAUAAGUCAAAUAAGGCAACCAUGAGGGGGAUGGAGUACAGCGAAUGAACACCCAAGUUCAUUAACACCUACAGGUGGCGAACCUGCUAAUGUUUCCACAAGACUGUCUAGAAUAGCCAGUGGUCGUCAUCUAAACUCCGCUAGAUGACUCAAUCAAACAACAACGAGGCCUCUCAUCUGUUUAUUACACACCAACUGUCUACCCAUGUUCUACCCAACAUAUUAGUAGAUAAAAAUAUACAUUUGUAUACAUAGUUUAAAGAAAACCUGUAUAGCAUGCUUUAAUCAACACAUAUAUCACAUAACAGAUGAGGCACACACACAUAACACAUAUCUCAUAAAGAAAUAAGCAGAUCUAUAAGAUAGAAGAGAGUGAAUACUCAUUCACACAUAACACAACCAAAUAUAUACACAUAGCACGUAUUUUUAUAUAAAAUACUUCGUAUUAUUGUAUUAGAAGAAAAUAACUACACACUCACUUGAUCAGAAGAUGAUCGGACAGCACUACGGCUUAUAGAAGUAGUAAUCCACAGCAGAUCUGGAAGAUCUUCUCAAAAAUCGAACUUCUCGCGGGCAGAGCUUCGACUCGGGAACCGCACUUCUCGGGAUCUUCGGGAUCUCGGGACUUGCCUCGGGGCUAGAGUAUAAUACCGGGGCUUCGGGGUGUAAAAAUGCAGAGCUUCGGCGCAAAGAUGAGAAGAAAUGAGCAAAUAAACCCUGAACCCUCGCAUCCUAUUUAUAGUGAAAAUAUCUGAUGUACUCGCCGAGUAGGGGACACCUACUCGCCGAGUUGGCCCAUACUCGCCGAGUAGGGAACACCUACUCGCCGAGUUGGCCCAUGUGGCGGCUUUCUGGUGGUGCCACGUGUCAAACUCUGGGUGGUGCCACGUCACCCCUAUCGCGUGUUAGCCUUCGAACUUAGAAAAAUCAUAACUUUCGCAUACGAGCUCCGUUUUUGACGUUCUUUAUAUCCACGCGUAGGUAAAAUCAAGAUCUACAACUUUCGUUUAGACUCCGUCGGCUAAAUCUUGACCGAU